ACGUUCCCGGGCCUUGUACACACCGCCCGUCACACCACGAGAGUUUGUAACACCCGAAGUCGGUGAGGUAACCUUUUGGAGCCAGCCGCCUAAGGUGGGAUAGAUGAUUGGGGUGAAGUCGUAACAAGGUAGCCGUAUCGGAAGGUGCGGCUGGAUCACCUCCUUU
RNAcentral lists this ribosomal RNA (166 nucleotides) under Enterococcus faecium. RNAcentral describes it as "partial 16S ribosomal RNA". It matches the Rfam family "Bacterial small subunit ribosomal RNA", at positions 1368 to 1533 of the family's 1533-position model. Lineage: Bacteria; Bacillati; Bacillota; Bacilli; Lactobacillales; Enterococcaceae. The record is from RNAcentral. RNAcentral also lists the same sequence under 2 other names.